UCGGAAUAGAAAAACGAAAAUCAAUUCAAUGGAUUAUCAAUAUAUUCAAAUGGAUUCUUAAUAACAUCAAGUACAAAGAAAAAGCAGAACGAUAAUUGGAGUUGUGUAGGAAUAAAGAACGAAAAUUGGUCAACAAUUAAGGAGAACAAAGAAAAUUGAUUAUAAUCACGACAACAAUUAAGGGUCACUAUUUGUGAACUUUAUUUUCUGCAACUAAAGUGUUAGAAACACUUGAUAAUUAUUUCAUCAUGAAUUAAUCAGUGACACCAAUGGUAUUAAUCAUCAACUAUUUCAAGAUUCAAUGGUAAAAAGGAUGAUUAACUAAUUGAUUAUAAUCAAUUGAUUUCUAGUAAAAUAAAUAAAAAGGUUUAAAAACCUAAAGGUUGUUAAUCCACUGGCACAAUGUUAAUAUGGUUCAAGUGGCAAAGUCCAAGGAUAAUUUGAUUAAGUAGUCUCAAUGGAAAGAGAAAGUUUUGUUUUUCUUAACGAUGAGAUUUUUACACAGACACGUUGUUGAUUUGGAAAACAAAAAUUAACUGAUUGAUGGUAAAUUAUCUGAUUAACCAUGACUCGAUUCAACUAUCGGAAUAUGUCUGAUUACUUAUUUCUUUUACUCACCAAUCAUCAUUAUCAUCAUCAUCAUAUGUAAUACUUAUGGAUCUUUCUUCAUGUAAACAUGAUAUUUUUUUUGCUGUAAAAACAAAAUUUACAUUUAAUCAAGGUUACUGAGUAGUUAUCAUGGUUAAAACGGAUCCAGAAAUUUGAAUCAAUCAGUUGAACCACAACAACAAUUAAGGUAGAGGGAGAGUGAUCAGAAUCAUGGUUAACUCGUCAAAUAUAUUACAACAAAAAAUAAUGUUUAAUUUGAUUAUCAUCUCUUUUUUUUGUGGUUCAUGAUUAUUCAAUCACAAUCAACAGGGAACAAUUUAUUUAAUCAUUUUCAUCAUUAUCUCUUAUACUUUGUGUUGUUGUUGUUAGUGGUUAGUUAAUUGUUUACAAUCUUGUUGUUACUUUCUCUCAUUAACUUUCCAUUUAUCUCACCCUCGAAUUAAUUAAUUGUCAAUUGUGUCAACAAUCAAAAAAUUUUCGUGAUCCCGUUCAUGAUUAUUGAUGAUUAAUCUUUACCAUUGAUUGUAAUAAUUAACUUUAAUUUUGAUUGUGUGAGUAUCUUUUUAAUUCAGUUACCUUUGACUUGUGUCACCUUAAAUUAAUCAAUCAGUUUGUUUUUGAUUAUUAUCCAUUAUAUUGAUUGUGUAAGAUUUAAUUUUCGUAAUCAGAAAAUUAAUUCAUUUCCAAUCAAAUUAAUCUCUGUGAAAAAAACAACUAUUAAAACGUACAAUUAAUUUUCACUGAUUAGACGAUUUGUUAAUUGUUCAUCAUUGAUGAUCAAUUUAUGCAAAUAAGGUUUUUAAUCACGAAAAAUUGAUUGAUAACAAUUAAAUUUCAAUAUCAACCUUUUCUCUUAUAAAUUGUGGUAACAAUUAAAUAACUUUUUCUCUGGUUAAUUGUUGAAUCGUAAGUUAAAUCAACGGUAAUAAGGUAACUAGAUUUACAAUUAAUCAAGCCAAACAUUUAAACAUAAUUGUUUCACACUCACAAUUAAUUGAUUGUACUUAUAUACUAUUUGAUGAUUAACCAAAAAAAUUCAUUAACCUUUUCACCUUGAUUAACAAUUUAGUCAAAUUAAUUAACGAUAACAAUUAACAAAAAUGCAAUUUCAGUUGAUUAACUUUCAGUGGAAAAUGAAUAUUAAUCAUUAAUGUAAUUAACUAAUCGUCCACAAUUGUAGCACUUUGAUUUUUUGGUUAAUUGUGAUGAUUAAAAUUAAAUGACUUGUCAAUAUUUUGGCUAAAUUAUGAUCUAAUAUUGAAAAUUAAUGUUAAUCAACUUUCAACUUUUUCUGUACUUUUGAUUACAACAAUUAACUUUCAUAAUCUAAAAAUAUUGAUUUCGUCAUGUUUAGUUAAUUAGUUGAAAACUAAUUGUAAAUUUUAAGUGUCAAUAAUGUCAACAAUUAAUGAUAAUAAUACAAUUCUGAGUCAAUCCUUAGGUAAAAUUAUCAUUAUCAUGAUUGGCUAAUUGUUAACAAUUAGUCUCAAUCUUUGUUUAUCUCAACAAUUAAUUGUAACAAAGAAUGACGUUAAUUCAUAACAAUCAAAAUUAAUCAUAGCCCACUAAUUAGGAGCCAAAAUGACAGGAAUAACUAAAAAUAAUAACAACAAUUAACUUAAUCACUCUGGUCAUCAAUAUAUAUUUUAUGUUACAAUUAAUUGUGAUUAACUCAUCACAAUAAAUACAAUAUUUAUUUCCGGAUUAAUUGAUUGAUAAUCAAUUUGAUCUUAACCAAUUUCUCAAUCAAAAAAAAGAAUCAAAUUAAAUGAUUAUAACAAUUAAAUGAACUCACAUAUUAAAUGAUGUAAAUAAUUAUAAUUAGAUUGACGGAACAAUUAACUAAUCAACGUUGAAAAGAAGAUCACAAUUUGUUGAUUGUAAACUACAAUUAACGUCAAGACAAUUUAAAUCACAUAUAAAUAUUAAUUGUGUAGGUAUAUUAACAAUUAACAGUUAACACCUACAUUAAUUGUGAUUUAAAUUUCUGCUCAUCUCUUUGGGUGAUUACAAUUUAAAUUAUUUGAGCGUCGGAGUAUCAACAUAAUCAUCAUUAAAUUGUUUUCAAUUAAAUAUUUAAUCAAUUGUUGUCUUAUUGUUAAUUAAAAUUGUAACCAAAAAGUAAAAGUUUAGGUCAGUAUAAAAGGUAAAGGCGUUAACCAACAAUUAACAACAACAACAACAACAACAAUCAAGGGAACGAGUUACAAUUAAACUAAUCAACAUCCCCUUAAUUGUAAACAUUAACAAUAAAAAUCUUAUCAAACUGAAUUAACUUUUGUAAGGUUAAAUUUUCUUGUAUUUUUUGAUACAAUGUUUUUGUUAAUUGUACUUUUUAAUAGUAACAAUUUAUUACUUUUUUUUUACAAACCAACCAGAACAACUCUCACAACAAUUAACAACAGCAAUCAAAGUUAAUUAAAGAGACUGAGUUGAUUAUUAGAUUGAUGAUUAAUAAUGUAUAUAAAUAGUUGGUGAUAUUUUAAAUUUUCAUCUAUAUUUAUAUUGUAUUUGGAUUUUUGUAUUAGUCAAGUUUAAGGAUAAUCAUCAAUUGGAUUAACUUUAAUCAGUUUAACACCAAAAGCCAAAAUGAUGAGGAUGCCAAGAAGAUGAAGAUGAAAUUGAUAUUGCAAUUGAUGAUGAUGAUGAUGUACAAGACAAGGUAAUCAAAGGUUUCUUCAAGGGAUAACUCUUGUGAUACUAACUGAAUUAGUAAAUUGUAAUCAUUUAACUUGUCAUCAAAAUGUAUAUACACUGUUAAUUGAAAGAUGAUAACUUUUUGGCUCAUCUUCAUCAUCAUCUUCAUCAUCAUCUUCAUCAACGAUUGAUUGAAACUAAUUUAACUAUUUGACAGUUUUUGGCAUCACAAUCCAAGGAUUUCACAAAAUUAUCCGCAAUUAACAUUAACAUUCAAUGUUCCCAUAUAAUCAUUAUCAUUUAAUUAACAGUUAAUUGUUGGAAUUUAUCAUUGUUUCAUACAAUUAAACUCAUGCUAUUGAUUAAACAAUAAGUAAUUUCUAGUGAUGAAAAUAAAUUUUAAACCAAUCCUAAAAUUAUCAGAGACAAUUAAACUUAACCAAUUGAAUGAAAUUGAUUGUUACCUUGAUUCUUGUAACUCUCCUUUUAAAUUGAAUAAUUUAUUUAAUCAUCAUCACUAAUUAAUUUAACAUACUCUUGAUUAUUAGUAGUAGUAUAGCAACAGCUAUUAAAUUAAUUGUAAUAAUCAUAAUUAACAAUCAAAUAAAAAAUAAUCAUUUACAUAAA
Molecule: long non-coding RNA, 3873 nt
Organism: Panonychus citri (citrus red mite)
Lineage: Eukaryota; Metazoa; Arthropoda; Arachnida; Trombidiformes; Tetranychidae
Exons: 4
Source: RefSeq, a predicted model, not a curated record